UGNGAGNCUANCAUGCAAGUCGAGCGCGAAAGGUUCUUCGGGACUGAGUAGAGCGGCGGACGGGUGAGUAACGCGUAGGAAUCUACCCAGUGGUGGGGGACAACUUGGGGAAACUCAAGCUAAUACCGCAUACGCCCUACGGGGGAAAGCGGGGGACCUUCGGGCCUCGCGCCAUUGGAUGAGCCUGCGUUGGAUUAGCUAGUUGGUGGGGUAAAGGCCCACCAAGGCGACGAUCCAUAGCUGGUCUGAGAGGAUGAUCAGCCACACUGGUACUGGAACACGGACCAGACUCCUACGGGAGGCAGCAGUGAGGAAUAUUGGGCAAUGGGCGAAAGCCUGACCCAGCCACGCCGCGUGUGUGAUGAAGGCCUUCGGGUCGUAAAGCACUGUGGGGAGAGACGAAACAGCGCAUCAGGAAAUGGUUGCGCCUUGACGGUACCUCCUUAGCAAGCACCGGCUAACUCUGUGCCAGCAGCCGCGGUAAUACAGAGGGUGCAAACGUUGCUCGGAUUUACUGGGCGUAAAGCGCGUGUAGGCGGACUCGCAAGUCGGUUGUGAAAUCCCUGGGCUCAACCUAGGAACUGCAUCCGAAACUGCUUGUCUUGAGUAAUGGAGAGGGUGGCGGAAUUCCCGGUGUAGAGGUGAAAUUCGUAGAUAUCGGGAGGAACAUCAGUGGCGAAGGCGGCCACCUGGACAUUUACUGACGCUGAGACGCGAAAGCGUGGGGAGCAAACAGGAUUAGAUACCCUGGUAGUCCACGCCGUAAACGAUGAGCAUUAGGUGCAGCGGAUAUUGACCUCUGCUGUGCCGUAGCUAACGCGUUAANUGCUCCGCCUGGGGAGUACGGCCG
RNAcentral lists this ribosomal RNA (850 nucleotides) under uncultured bacterium. RNAcentral's name for it is "bacterial SSU rRNA". It matches the Rfam family "Bacterial small subunit ribosomal RNA", at positions 43 to 888 of the family's 1533-position model. The record is from RNAcentral.